Molecule: ribosomal RNA, 253 nt
Filed under: uncultured bacterium
Lineage: Bacteria
Description: partial 16S ribosomal RNA
Rfam family: Bacterial small subunit ribosomal RNA
Source: RNAcentral
UACGGAGGGUGCGAGCGUUGUCCGGAAUCACUGGGCGUAAAGGGCGCGUAGGUGGCGGCCCAAGUCAACGGUGAAAGCUCGGCGCUCAACGCCGAGUCGGCCGUCGAUACUGGGUUGCUUGAGCACUGUAGGGGCCAAUGGAAUUCCGGGUGUAGCGGUGGAAUGCGUAGAGAUCAGGAAGAACAUCGGUGGCGAAGGCGCUCUGCUGGACCAUAACUGACACUCAGGGACGAAAGCUAGGGGAGCGAAUGGG